AGUGGCGGACGGGUGAGUAACGCGUGGGCAACCUGCCCUAUGCAGGGGGAUAACAUGGAGAAAUCCAUGCUAAUACCGCAUAAGACCACAGUAUCACAUGAUACAGUGGUAAAAGUUUUAAUGGCAUAGGAUGGGCCCGCGUCGCAUUAGCUAGUUGGUAAGGUAACGGCUUACCAAGGCGACGAUGCGUAGCCGACCUGAGAGGGUGAUCGGCCACAUUGGAACUGAGACACGGUCCAAACUCC
RNAcentral lists this ribosomal RNA (245 nucleotides) under uncultured bacterium. RNAcentral describes it as "partial 16S ribosomal RNA". It matches the Rfam family "Bacterial small subunit ribosomal RNA", at positions 94 to 339 of the family's 1533-position model. The record is from RNAcentral.